This 324-nucleotide ribosomal RNA is filed under the name Triticum aestivum (bread wheat). RNAcentral's name for it is "partial small subunit ribosomal RNA". The record is from RNAcentral. Lineage: Eukaryota; Viridiplantae; Streptophyta; Magnoliopsida; Poales; Poaceae.
AUGCUAAAUGGGUUGAAUUCAUUGAAACUUUCCCUUAUGUUAUUAAACACAAGAAGGGUAAAGAAAAUGUUAUUGCUGAUGCAUUGUCUCGUCGCUAUACUAUGCUUUCACAACUUGACUUCAAAAUAUUUGGUUUGGAGACCAUCAAAGAUCAAUAUGUGCAUGAUGCUGAUUUUAAAGAUGUAUUGCAGAAUUGUAAAGAAGGAAGAACCUGGAACAAGUUUGUCGUUAAUGAUGGAUUUGUGUUCCGUGCUAACAAGCUAUGCAUUCCAGCUAGCUCUCUUCGUCUUUUGUUGUUGCAGGAGGCGCAUGGAGGAGGAUUAA